Molecule: ribosomal RNA, 553 nt
Filed under: Paracoccus sp. Air209
Lineage: Bacteria; Pseudomonadati; Pseudomonadota; Alphaproteobacteria; Rhodobacterales; Paracoccaceae
Description: bacterial SSU rRNA
Rfam family: Bacterial small subunit ribosomal RNA
Source: RNAcentral
GAGCGAGACCUUCGGGUCUAGCGGCGGACGGGUGAGUAACGCGUGGGAACGUGCCCUUCUCUACGGAAUAGCCCCGGGAAACUGGGAGUAAUACCGUAUACGCCCUUUGGGGGAAAGAUUUAUCGGAGAAGGAUCGGCCCGCGUUGGAUUAGGUAGUUGGUGAGGUAACGGCUCACCAAGCCGACGAUCCAUAGCUGGUUUGAGAGGAUGAUCAGCCACACUGGGACUGAGACACGGCCCAGACUCCUACGGGAGGCAGCAGUGGGGAAUCUUAGACAAUGGGGGCAACCCUGAUCUAGCCAUGCCGCGUGAGUGAUGAAGGCCUUAGGGUUGUAAAGCUCUUUCAGCUGGGAAGAUAAUGACGGUACCAGCAGAAGAAGCCCCGGCUAACUCCGUGCCAGCAGCCGCGGUAAUACGGAGGGGGCUAGCGUUGUUCGGAAUUACUGGGCGUAAAGCGCACGUAGGCGGACUGGAAAGUCAGAGGUGAAAUCCCAGGGCUCAACCUUGGAACUGCCUUUGAAACUAUCAGUCUGGAGUUCGAGAGAGGUGAGUG